Bactrocera dorsalis (oriental fruit fly) is the source of this 702-nucleotide RNA transcript. RefSeq lists it as uncharacterized. The record is from RefSeq and is a predicted model, not a curated record. The transcript is spliced from 4 exons. Lineage: Eukaryota; Metazoa; Arthropoda; Insecta; Diptera; Tephritidae.
UGUGAGUUCUGACAGCUGUGUCUCUCGAAUCAAAGAGUGCGAUAAGUGAUUUAAAAAUAGCAAACACUGGAAGCACAGAUAUAUAGAAAAAUUGUUCAUCACUUAUUACCGGGCGAAAAGAUCACUUUGAAAUAGGAAAUGAACUUGAAAAGUGCUGUGAAACUGCUGCCGGGCAAUAACCAAUAUUUGAAGACGGAUGUACCACUAAAUGGUAUCUUAAGUACGGGGCGUUCCAGUGGCAGAGGCUUUGCGCGGUUUGUUAAACAAUACCCAGUUUUGGGUGCCAUAAUUAGUAUUAUACUCCUGCUUGUUGGAAUAUUAUCGUGUCUAAAAAAGUGCGGUUGCUGCGACGAACCCGAGAAAGAACAAAUGAAUGCCGUGGUGCAUCAAGAUGCAACGUAUCCGACACAAAAUUCGGACCCAGAAGCGCAGAAUCUGAACACUUUCCCGACACAAAAUGCGGACCCAGAAGCUCAAAAUCGGAACACAAUUCACGAAUGAUCUCUUUAGUGUGUGCCACUUUAUGACCAAACAUUGUUGAAAUCCAAUAAAAACUGUUCAACCCCCUAGCUACCAAAUAUUUAGACCAUGCACGCAUAUACCUAAUAUAAAGAUUUCGAACUUCCGGGUGAUUUUGUACCGCAUAUAUCGGCCAAUAUGUGAGUUAUCUCAAUGAAAAUAAAAGAACGUGUUUUACUCAAA